GGGUAAAGAAGGACGAUUUGGCAUCCCAGCACCUCAAGGACUGAAGGGAGAUCAGGGACUUCCUGGUACACCCGGUAAACGAGGAACGAUCCUGUAUGCAACCACCGGGAAGAACUCGAAGGAAUCACAUUCCUCCUUGGAAGAUCUUUUUGGAAAACACAAUGGGGUAACAACAUGGUGCUCUCAUGGCUCUACUCACUCGAGUGGAACAGCGAUUCUUAAAGGUGUGAA
Molecule: long non-coding RNA, 231 nt
Organism: Trichomycterus rosablanca
Lineage: Eukaryota; Metazoa; Chordata; Actinopteri; Siluriformes; Trichomycteridae
Exons: 3
Source: RefSeq, a predicted model, not a curated record